Long non-coding RNA from Passer montanus (Eurasian tree sparrow), 3280 nucleotides. RefSeq lists it as uncharacterized. The record is from RefSeq and is a predicted model, not a curated record. The transcript is spliced from 5 exons. Lineage: Eukaryota; Metazoa; Chordata; Aves; Passeriformes; Passeridae.
CAAGGUUCCACUUUAGGUGUGCACUGUUCAAGGCUAAGGGCUGUUGAAUAAACUGCAAAACUCUUCAUCCUCUUCAGGGGCACCCUGAAAAUAGAAGACCAGUGGACCUCUGCAGACACCUAACAGGGAAACAUGAGUAAAAACAAUGAUUACAACACGAAAAACUCCUCUAACAAAUGAUGAAACCUAUCCUGUCAACCCCCAUUGUCUGAAAAGUUCAUUGAUGCAGUCUGAGUUCUUCUCAACUUUUAAGUCCUUUACUUGUUCCCUCAGCUCUGGAUGUUUACGUGGAUGGAUGUUGAGUGUGAAGAAAUUUGGAGCAGUGCAUCCUUUCAAAGUCGUGGCAGCUGUGUCCAUGGGGGAGCAGUGAAAAAUCUGUUGCUGCUGGUUUUAUAUAUAAAAAUAUGCUUGGUGUUAUUAGCAUUUGUUAGCAGCUCACUCAGUGCUUAGGACGUAGCAUUGGUUUGCUUACUUAACACUUUCAAUUCUCAGAGAUUAUCAGUGACAGCUCUGUGGCUUUCCUUCCUCUUCCCUGUCUCUCCAGCCACCCAACCUCCUCUCCUUCACCAGCUGGGCAGGGUCAGGCUGCCUCGGGAUGUCACUCGUUUAAAACAGAAUUACCUGGCUGUCAGUGAUGCUCCUGCUCCUGGAAUUGGACAAAAGAGAGCUAAAGAGAUUAAAUCCACCAGGUGGGAAUUGCAAGAGGAACUGUCUGGAUGGUCACACAACAGAUGCAUUUCAGAGAUGGAGGAGCUGAGAUGUUUGCAUUGACAUCACCCUCCACCAUGCUGCAAGGCUAAACACUCCAAACCUGUCCUCUUGGCACUUGGCUGUACCUGUGGAAAGAACAGUGCAGGCCUUUUAGAGGUCUCAUUAAAGCUUAAUCCAAGGAACGCUCUCACUAAACAGAAUUUUGAAGACAGCUCCUGCCACUGAUGUGAGGAUGUGUCCCCAGGACUGUUCAUCAUGCCCAGAAAACCUUGGCUCUGAAGCAGUGCUGUCCUCAACACUUGGGUUCAGCUGACAAUUUCAGCCAUGGAGUUCCUCAAUUCUUUUUUUUUUUCCCCCCUUGCUGAGGGCCCUUGCUUUUCAACAGAGGAGAUAUUGCUCUUUGCUGGGAAGAGCUCCGGUAAAUUCGGGCUGUUUUUCUGUGUUUGCUUUGUUCUCCCCUGUGCCGCAUCUGGGCUGUAAUUGCCCACAUUCUGUUUUUGUUCAGGCUUUCCAUUAUUCAUUAAUACCUUGUUUACUCUGUAAUGACUCUUUUAGGGUCCUCUGUGCCUCUGGGAUGCAUUUGCCAACACAAUGACGGUGGUUGACAUUUUGUAAGAGUGUUCCACACAGAUUUUUGUCUUCUUUGGUUGCCUGAGGAGGUUAUCUGCUAAUUCAGUAAAGCAACAAAAUAAUAUUUUGGAUCAAGCCAGGCAUGGGAUUGUGAGAAGAUUUCUGAGUUAUUAGCAUGUUACCUUUACUACACAUUCAUAAUUUUACUUGGUUUGAGGAAGAGCAGGAAUCUUAAUCAGGGAGAUAAAGUGAUGACAAGUGUGUAAGUGGAGGACAGUAUUAUAUCUUGUGAUGAGGUCCUUCAGUCAAUCUGAGGUUUAUAGUUCUUGUUGUCUUUUUAAAAUUUUGUUUUGUUUUGUUUCGUUCAAAGAAAAGCCUUAAAAAUUCAUCCAAAAUGAGAAAGAGAAGAAGGGGCUAUGAAUUAGUGAUAGGCAAUAACACAUGAAUUUUUCACAAUAUUUGUGGAACACUGUUCAAGGAGUUUUUAUAAAUAUUGCAAUACUGGUAAAACUUUAGUGGAAAGUAAUCCAUGGGUUUUCAGAAGGCUGUGACAUGGACAUAUUUCCCCUCAGCCUUCUAUUUGCUGGGUUUUAUUUCAACUUUUGUCAGUGUCAUACACUAUCAUGUAUGUAUUUAUGUUUUAUUAAGUUUUCUGGUACCUGUGGUGGUACCUGUAGUCCUGGAAAUGUAUUUAUUUUAGCAGUUAUAUUUCUUUUGGGGUAAAAAGGGUUCUUGUCAUUUUCAUUCUCUUAGAAUAUUCUGAGGAUUGUAGGCCACCUGAAGUGAAUGCACCUUCCCUCUGUUCAAAUGUGUGGUUGAUAACCAGGUCACUGCUUUUGGAACAGCCCAAAUGCAACCAAAACAGUAAACUCAAAAUAGCAGCGCUGGCUUCUGAAUGCCUAUGAGUGAAGAACAGCUCUGCAUUGUUACACAGCUACAGGGACAUUAUUUUCUCAUCUUUCAUCUAAUUUUCUUCCCAUCUGCAGAUUAAACAUCUGCCAGUUGGUAUUUAAAUGACAUGGGUAAUAUCCUGACUCUCAAAAUCAAAAUUCCCAUUAACUACUGUGGGACCCGGAAAGCUGUUGCUCUGUAAAUUCAUCUUCCCUCUUCCUGUGCUCUCCCCUCCCUGCUUCAGCACAUUUCCCAUUCCACUGUCGCUUCCUCGCAGGCAGUUCAUCUCCUUUCUGCCUUUGAUUGAUUGAUUUGCCUCAAUCAAUGUUAAUUUCACUUCCUUCACAAGCUCAGCUGUGCUCCUUAUCUGCGCUUUUCACUUUCUCAGCACUGCCACUGCUCUGUGUCUGAGAAAGAGGAAGGAGGGAUGAAAGAAGCUGAGAGAAGGAAGAGGAAAGGGCACAGUAAAGGCUGUUUCCCUUUCCCUGCUAUUUGAACUGACUCAUAAGGCUGUGUCUGGUUUGGAAAAAUCAGAGGAGUUUCCUCACCUAAAAAAUCAGAUUUUUUCAUGGAAAAAACAUAUGUAGCCUCACAAGCACACAUGGAAAAAUUGAACCUUCAGAAGCAAACAUUCAUUUUGAUACUAUCAAUCCAAGCCUGCACGAGAUGAAUUUCUGCAAAAAAUGAACUUUUAUAAAUAAUUCUUGCCCGAUGUUAUGUUUGAUUGGCUCACAACAGUGGAGGGAUGCAUUCUCAGCCCGAGAGCUGCAGAACACUUCAGCAAAUGAGGAAAUUCAGUUUGCAACAUGGAUUUGGAAACUCUCCAGUCAUUUAAGUUCUGAAAACCCAGCUGACACGGUGUGAGUAUUUCUGAGGGGCUGCGCAGAUUGAUCAAUUAGGGACAGAUGAGAUCAGUCUUUCCAAGUGGAUGCCUCGGGAAUGUGUGUGAUGGAAUACCGCUGUGAUUAAAGCAUCAGGGAUAUAAUCACCUCACCAACUUCCAGAAAUCUAUCACAGAUGGUUUGAAGUCAAGAGGGAUUCCUAUCUUGUCUCUUUAUAUUCAUGUCUCACUCAGACGUCUCUCAGAAGCAUUAGGAUAUUUCAGCAA